ACCCUUCGUCAGGACUAUCUGAAGGAAGAGUGCAGAUUCAACUUCUUGACUGGACUUCCAGACUCAAUCAAGUUUCAUGUACACUUAAAGAAUGUGGGAGGAACCCAAAGUCCCCAGAGAAACCAAUGCUGCCAAAGGGACAAACUCCUC
This is a long non-coding RNA of Mobula hypostoma (lesser devil ray), 150 nucleotides long. RefSeq lists it as uncharacterized. Lineage: Eukaryota; Metazoa; Chordata; Chondrichthyes; Myliobatiformes; Myliobatidae. The transcript has 3 exons. The record is from RefSeq and is a predicted model, not a curated record.